This is a long non-coding RNA of Rhinolophus ferrumequinum (greater horseshoe bat), 842 nucleotides long. RefSeq lists it as uncharacterized. The record is from RefSeq and is a predicted model, not a curated record. The transcript has 3 exons. NCBI's taxonomy places the organism in Eukaryota, Metazoa, Chordata, Mammalia, Chiroptera, Rhinolophidae.
GGGACGGACUCGGGGUUGUCCGCCGACUGAGCAGGCCCGGCAGCUGCCGCCGCUACAGCGGCCCCGCCGCAGCCACCGGCCUUACAUAGGGCGCGAGGCCGAGGAGGGUUCUGGGGUUGGACCGCAAGGCCCGCCCCGCCGCCCGCAGAGCGGCGCCAACAGGGGCGGAGCUGGGGCCGCGCGUGACGGCGGGUGCGCCGCCCCGGCCUCUGCGAGCACCUGGGACUCAGUCCCGAGGCUCCAACCAGAGUAGCCCUGGCUGCCUUUCUGAAGUCGGCGGGACUCGUAACCUCGGUGUCUGAGCCAAGCUGACCCAGCCCGGAGCCCGGGGAAGGGACGCGUUGGCGAUCGGGCAGCGAGGCUCAACUACAGUAUUAAAAAUACUGCCCCCAUCUCACAACUGUUUGCUGAGGCCUAGAGGGGGACUGCAACUGGCUCAGGGUCUCACUGCUAGUUAGCUGCCCUUGGCAUCGCGCAUCCUGCCUCCAGAUUCUAUAUGAGUUCCUUCAACAAGACCAAACAAGGCCAUUCCAGGCCCAGCUCCUGGGUGAACACGGCCACCUGAAUGACCGGAUUAACCAAAGAAGACCACAGCCUCCACAAAGCUAAACAGAAUUUCUAUCACACAGCCACCUUGCAUGGAUGGCUUUGGGUCUUGCUUCUUGGGCCAACACUUUUAACUCUGUUUAACCAAAAUCUAUUUUUCCUCAUUCUGGGGCCUUGGAGAUACAGCGGAUACCCCAGCAAGAUUACCAGUCCCAACCAAAGAAGCCAACACGGUCUUCCAGGCAGAUCUCAAGACCCCUUUCUCUCAUCUGAGAUCAGAUAGGGAGAGAGUUCUG